GUUUGAUCAUGGCUCAGAACGAACGCUGGCGGCGUGCUUAACACAUGCAAGUCGGACGGAGUCAUAUUGUGUAGCAAUACAUGAUAUGACUUAGUGGCGGACGGGUGAGUAACACGUAGGUAACCAACCCUAAAGCGGGGGACAACCCAGGGAAACUUGGGCUAAUACCGCAUAAGACCACGGACUGGGAGGUUUGUGGUAAAAGGAGCAAUCCACUUUAGGAUGGGCCUGCGGCCUAUCAGGUAGUUGGCGGGGUAAAUGCCCACCAAGCCUAAGACGGGUAGCCGGACUGAGAGGUUGAACGGCCACACUGGAACUGAGAUACGGUCCAGACUCCUACGGGAGGCAGCAGUGGGGAAUUUUGCGCAAUGGGGGAAACCCUGACGCAGCGACGCCGCGUGGAGGAUGAAGGUUUUCGGAUUGUAAACUCCUUUUGUAGGGGAAAAUAAUGAUGGUACCCUAUGAAUAAGCCACGGCUAACUCUGUGCCAGCAGCCGCGGUAAGACAGAGGUGGCAAGCGUUGUUCGGAAUUACUGGGCUUAAAGGGCGCGUAGGUGGUGGCAUAAGUCCGAGGUGGAAGACUACAGCUUAACUGUAGAAUUGCCUUGGAAACUGUAUCACUUGAGUCAGCGAGGGGAUGGCGGAAUUCCAGGUGUAGCGGUGAAAUGCGUAGAUAUCUGGAGGAAGGCCGGUGGCGAAGGCGGCCAUCUGGCGCUGAACUGACACUGAGGCGCGAAAGCGUGGGGAGCAAACAGGAUUAGAUACCCUGGUAGUCCACGCCCUAAACGGUGGGUACUAGGUGUAGGGCUCGCAAGGGUUCUGUGCCGCAGGAAACCAUUAAGUACCCCGCCUGGGGAGUACGGCGCAAGGUUGAAACUCA
This 880-nucleotide ribosomal RNA is filed under the name uncultured bacterium. RNAcentral's name for it is "bacterial SSU rRNA". It matches the Rfam family "Bacterial small subunit ribosomal RNA", at positions 11 to 903 of the family's 1533-position model. The record is from RNAcentral.